GGUUUCACUUUUGCUUCCGCUGUAUCAUGAAAGACGCCAUUCUGGGUAGAAUUUCUGUCUCUUCUCCACCUCCACCACACGCUGUCAGUGGGCUCCCACCCACACAAGUCCUUCCCCGCUCCCUCCUGCUCCCUCUCCAGUGCUGUUACAUGGGAUGGAGCACACACCAACUCACCCUGUGCCGCUCCAUGCCCCACAUUCACACAGCCACCAUCUCACCGUCUCUCCGUGCCCUUCUCAUUGCCCAGCCCAGCUCAGGGUGGUGGCACCGAGCCUCCGGGUCACUGCCAUCGUGGGACAGGACGUCGUGCUGCGCUGCCACUUGUGUCCUUGCAAGGAUGCUUGGAACUCAGACAUCAGAUGGAUCCAGCACCAGUCCUCUGGUUUUGUGCACCACUACCAAAAUGGAGUGGAUCUGGAGCAGAUGGAGGAGUAUAAAGGGAGGACAGAACUGCUCAGGAAUGGGCUCUCUGAUGGAAACCUGGAUCUGCGCAUCACUGCUGUGAGAUCCACUGAUAGUGGCUCAUACAGCUGUGCUGUGGAAAAUGGUGAUGGCUAUGCAGAAGCUGUGGUGAACCUGGAGGUGUCAGAUCCCUUUUCUGAGACCAUCUAUCCCUGGAAGGUGGCUCUGGGUGUGGUUGUCCCACUUCUUUUGGUGGCAUUUGUUGUCAUCAUAGCUUUUCUCUAUAGAAAGCAAGGAAGGGGAAAAAGGAAGGGUGAAAAGACAGGAACGUGGCUGGAGUGUGGGGCAGGUGGAAAGGUCCAGACCCACUGGAGAAUUCCGCACAAACCAAGCUGUCCUGCUGACCACCUCUUCCUCUGCUUUGUUUUCCAGCGGCACAGAUCAGAGAGCUGAGUGAGUCCUUCCAGCCCCUUCCACCACCAAAAUCCCUUUAAUGGAUCUGAUAGAAGACUGCAGAGUGCUGGGUUUAUGUGAUGGGUUUGGUCCAUGGGAUUUUUGGAGCCUUGGGAUGUACUGGCACUGUGGGAUGGACAGGGGUCAUGGCAUCCCAUGUUGAUCCUGAUGGAUCCUCUUCACAAGUCUAGCUCAAACAGUUCUUUCCUAUUAGUUUAAUUCCCUCUCGGACCAAAGUGAUCACUGGCCACUUUGCAGAACAAAAGAUUUGGGGUCUGGGUAUGGGAGCAGCCAUGGGAUGAGAAAUUGUUUCCCCUGACCAUGCAUUUCCUUUGUUUCCCUUAUGCAGUGAGAAGAAGUACAAUGCUGGGUAAGUCUCCUCCCCCAAAGUGAGGGAAUUCAGGUCUCCCCAUGGCAUCAGCCGUGGGAUGAGCAGCUCUCCCCUCUGACCCUGCACUGCUCUGCUCUUUCUUUUCCAGAGGAACUCUUACUGGAAGCAGUCAGAAGAGAUGCACAUAU
This is a non-coding RNA of Meleagris gallopavo (turkey), 1375 nucleotides long. The record is from RefSeq and is a predicted model, not a curated record. Lineage: Eukaryota; Metazoa; Chordata; Aves; Galliformes; Phasianidae.